Molecule: long non-coding RNA, 831 nt
Filed under: Cervus hanglu yarkandensis (Yarkand deer)
Lineage: Eukaryota; Metazoa; Chordata; Mammalia; Artiodactyla; Cervidae
Description: lncRNA (ENSCHYG00000018505.1)
Source: RNAcentral
GCUUCAUACAUGAGAAAUAUUUCUUUUGAUCAGAGUAGUUUGCAAGUGCGUGGGUCAAAUUUAAGCAUCGAGUUUUUAACGAGUGGCUCCUGUGUGUGAAGUGCUACAUGAGCUAGCUCUGGGGUAGACAGGCAGAACAGGGCACCAAACAUUAAAAUGGGCACGGGAAAGAUGUUUAAUGAUGGUUCAAGGUGGACACUAGGAGGAGCAUGAGAAAGCAGCACACGAGCAAAGAGGAAAAGAGGCACAGGAAUUCCCAGGCAAGAAAUACAGAUAGUAAAAGCUGUUGCACGGAGCUCCUGGAAGGCUGGUGAGCAGAGCAAAUGGACAAGAGAAGCUAUUCACAUCUUCCAAACUCUGAGACAAGACAUCCUGGGACAAAUCACUGUGAGGACUGCAGCCAGUUAUGGCAGGAGGUCCCGUAUCACUGAAUCUGGAGCUGGAGGGGUCCAGGAAACACCAGCAGUCAUUUUGCCGGAGAUAUUGAUCAGCCAGAGAAUACUCGUCUGUGAACUGGGUAAAUCCAGGGGCAGGACUGGAGGCAGGUUUACCUGAAGUAAGCAACAGUGUCCGGUGGAAUGAGGAGCCUAACAUUCUAGGUGACAAUUUUUACAUCCAAUUCACUGGAAAUAUGGUUGAGUUUCUUGGUAGGAAAAUUAAUUUUUUUAGCACUAGGGCCUCUGAACCAGCAGAGUUCCAAGAAUGAGAAGUAAACAUUUAAAAAGUCCAGCAUUGGGUGAAAUACUAAGGGUUCCUUUCCUAUUUCUGCACUUUGGUUGGUGGAAUUGUUUUCCAACUGUGGAAGAAACACUAUAUAUUGGUCACUCGUUC